CUCUGAAGACGGACUUGCACCCUUAACAACGGAGGACGGAUGAGUAAACCUAGGAAUCUGCCUGGUAGUGGGGGAUAACGUCCGGAAACGGGCGCUAAUACCGCAUACGUCCUGAGGGAGAAAGUGGGGGAUCUUCGGACCUCACGCUAUCAGAUGAGCCUAGGUCGGAUUAGCUAGUUGGUGGGGUAAAGGCCUACCAAGGCGACGAUCCGUAACUGGUCUGAGAGGAUGAUCAGUCACACUGGAACUGAGACACGGUCCAGACUCCUACGGGAGGCAGCAGUGGGGAAUAUUGGACAAUGGGCGAAAGCCUGAUCCAGCCAUGCCGCGUGUGUGAAGAAGGUCUUCGGAUUGUAAAGCACUUUAAGUUGGGAGGAAGGGCAGUAUGUUAAUACCUUGCUGUUUUGACGUUACCAACAGAAUAAGCACCGGCUAACUUCGUGCCAGCAGCCGCGGUAAUACGAAGGGUGCAAGCGUUAAUCGGAAUUACUGGGCGUAAAGCGCGCGUAGGUGGUUCAGCAAGUUGGAUGUGAAAUCCCCGGGCUCAACCUGGGAACUGCAUCCAAAACUACUGAGCUAGAGUACGGUAGAGGGUGGUGGAAUUUCCUGUGUAGCGGUGAAAUGCGUAGAUAUAGGAAGGAACACCAGUGGCGAAGGCGACCACCUGGACUGAUACUGACACUGAGGUGCGAAAAGCGUGGGGAGCAAACAGGAUUAGAUACCCUGGUAGUCCACGCCGUAAACGAUGUCGACUAGCCGUUGGGAUCCUUGAGAUCUUAGUGGCGCAGCUAACGCGAUAAGUCGACCGCCUGGGGAGUACGGCCGCAGGUUAAACUCAAAUGAUUUGACGGGGGCCGCACAGCGGUGGAGCAUGUUGUUUUAUUUCGAAGCACGGGAAAACCUUACCUGGCCUGGAAUGCUGAAACUUCCAGAAAUGAUGGUGCUUCGGAACUAAACCAGGGCUCCUGGCUGCCUCACCUCUGUCGGAGAGUUGGGUAAUCCCGUACGACCGCACCCUGUCCUAGUUCCAGCCCCGGGUGGCCCUUAGAGACUGCGUGGACAACCGAAGAAGGGGGGAUAAUCAUUU
RNAcentral lists this ribosomal RNA (1087 nucleotides) under Pseudomonas aeruginosa. Its description in RNAcentral is "bacterial SSU rRNA". It matches the Rfam family "Bacterial small subunit ribosomal RNA", at positions 74 to 1190 of the family's 1533-position model. The record is from RNAcentral. Lineage: Bacteria; Pseudomonadati; Pseudomonadota; Gammaproteobacteria; Pseudomonadales; Pseudomonadaceae.